CUUUUGGAAUGAAAAAAGGGUAACAAGGUUUCCGUAGGUGAACCUGCGGAAGGAUCAUUACUGAUUUGCUUAAUUGCACCACAUGUGUUUUUUAUUGAACAAAUUUCUUUGGUGGCGGGAGCAAUCCUACCGCCAGAGGUUAUAAUUAAACCAAACUUUUUAUUUACAGUCAAACUUGAUUUAUUAUUACAAUAGUCAAAACUUUCAACAACGGAUCUCUUGGUUCUCGCAUCGAUGAAGAACGCAGCGAAAUGCGAUACGUAAUAUGAAUUGCAGAUAUUCGUGAAUCAUCGAAUCUUUGAACGCCCAUUGCGCCCUUUGGUAUUCCAAAGGGCAUGCCUGUUUGAGCGUCAUUUCUCCCUCAAACCCCCGGGUUUGGUGUUGACCAAUACGCUAGGUUUGUUUGAAAGAAUUUACGUGGAAACUUAUUUUAAGCGACUUAGGUUUAUCCAAAAACGCUUAUUUUGCUAGUGGCCACCACAAUUUAUUUCAUAACUUGACCUCAAAUCAGGUAGACGCCCAGGUCC
RNAcentral lists this ribosomal RNA (527 nucleotides) under Candida tropicalis. Its description in RNAcentral is "eukaryotic LSU rRNA". The stretch from base 200 to 353 matches the Rfam family "5.8S ribosomal RNA". The record is from RNAcentral. Lineage: Eukaryota; Fungi; Ascomycota; Pichiomycetes; Serinales; Debaryomycetaceae.